AGUAAAGAAAGGAUUUAAACCAAUAUAAGUAGAUUUACAGCCCACCGCUUAAUGUUCAGCCACUUUACC
Molecule: transfer RNA, 69 nt
Filed under: Anolis cooki
Lineage: Eukaryota; Metazoa; Chordata; Lepidosauria; Squamata; Anolidae
Description: tRNA-Tyr
Source: RNAcentral